CGCAGGCUGCGCCAAAGCCUCUUUGCUCCAGGCUAUGGUGUCAGCCAUUUACCUCUGUGAAGCAUAUAAAAAGACACGCGACUCAAGAGGCAACGCACACGCUGAGACAGAAAGCAAGAGCACAACGAAAAAUACAACAACAAACAAAACUCAUAAGACGGCAUUAUGAGUAUUCCCGGGAGAACAAAAAGGCUCCAAGAAGCUGGUGGCAACAGGGAGAACAUCCAGAGUUGGAAGACUGCAAUCCAAUCCAGCUGCUCUUGCCUUGACCUAGAUGUAGGAUUUGGUUUCUUUCCUUUUUUUUUUCCUUCUUGGUUUUCAACAUGGAAAGUGCUUUCCUAAGACCUACCAGCACACAAAGAAGGAUUCUCUGAAGGAUCCAUGGAAUAGAGGAAGAGUUGGAGACAGGAAGCAAUGGCAGGCUUAACCAGAAAUGCACAUCAAGCUGGAGACGGAAGACUAAGACCAG
RNAcentral lists this long non-coding RNA (469 nucleotides) under Homo sapiens (human). RNAcentral's name for it is "HSALNT0121589". Lineage: Eukaryota; Metazoa; Chordata; Mammalia; Primates; Hominidae. The record is from RNAcentral.